UGGGGAAUAUUGGACAAUGGGCGCAAGCCUGAUCCAGCCAUGCCGCGUGGGUGAAGAAGGCCUUCGGGUUGUAAAGCCCUUUUGUCCGGAAAGAAAAGUUCUGGGUUAAUAGCCCAGGGUCAUGACGGUACCGUAAGAAUAAGCACCGGCUAACUACGUGCCAGCAGCCGCGGUAAUACGUAGGGUGCAAGCGUUAAUCGGAAUUACUGGGCGUAAAGCGUGAGUAGGUGGUUUCUUAAGUCUGCUGUGAAAGCCCCGGGCUCAACCUGGGAAUUGCAGUGGAUACUGGGAAGCUAGAGUGCGGUAGAGGGUAGUGGAAUCCCCGGUGUAGCAGUGAAAUGCGUAGAGAUCGGGAGGAACACCAGUGGCGAAGGCGACUAUCUGGACCAGCACUGACACUGAGGCACGAAAGCGUGGGGAGCAAACA
RNAcentral lists this ribosomal RNA (427 nucleotides) under uncultured bacterium. RNAcentral describes it as "bacterial SSU rRNA". It matches the Rfam family "Bacterial small subunit ribosomal RNA", at positions 355 to 774 of the family's 1533-position model. The record is from RNAcentral.